Molecule: ribosomal RNA, 422 nt
Filed under: uncultured bacterium
Lineage: Bacteria
Description: bacterial SSU rRNA
Rfam family: Bacterial small subunit ribosomal RNA
Source: RNAcentral
UAUUGCACAAUGGGCGCAAGCCUGAUGCAGCCAUGGCGCGUGUGUGAAGAAGGCCUUCGGGUUGUAAAGCACUUUCAGCGGGGAGGAAGGCGGCGAGGUUAAUAACCUCACCGAUUGACGGUACCCGCAGAAGAAGCACCGGCUAACUCCGUUCCAGCAGCCGCGGUAAUACGGAGGGUGCAAGCGUUAAUCGGAAUUACUGGUCGUAAAGCGCACGCAGGCGGUCUGUCAAGUCGGAUGUGAAAUCCCCGGGCUCAACCUGGGAACUGCAUUCGAAACUGGCAGGCUAGAGUCUUGUAGAGGGGGGUAGAAUUCCAGGUGUAGCGGUGAAAUGCGUAGAGAUCUGGAGGAAUACCGGUGGCGAAGGCGGCCCCCUGGACAAAGACUGACGCUCAGGUGCGAAAGCGUGGGGAGCAAACAGG